RNAcentral lists this ribosomal RNA (248 nucleotides) under uncultured bacterium. Its description in RNAcentral is "partial 16S ribosomal RNA". It matches the Rfam family "Bacterial small subunit ribosomal RNA", at positions 107 to 354 of the family's 1533-position model. The record is from RNAcentral.
UGAGUAACGCGUGAGGAACCUGCCUUCCAGAGGGGGACAACAGUUGGAAACGACUGCUAAUACCGCAUGACACAUUUGAAUCGCAUGGUUUGAAUGUCAAAGAUUUUAUCGCUGGAAGAUGGCCUCGCGUCUGAUUAGCUAGUAGGCGGGGUAACGGCCCACCUAGGCGACGAUCAGUAGCCGGACUGAGAGGUUGACCGGCCACAUUGGGACUGAGAUACGGCCCAGACUCCUACGGAAGGCAGCAG